AGUGAACGCUGGCGGUAGGCCUAACACAUGCAAGUCGAACGGCGGCACAGUAAGAGCUUGCUCUUACGGGUGGCGAGUGGCGGACGGGUGAGGAAUACAUCGGAAUCUCCUUUUUCGUGGGGGAUAACGUAGGGAAACUUACGCUAAUACCGCAUACGACCUACGGGUGAAAGCAGGGGAUCUUCGGACCUUGCGCGAUUGAAUGAGCCGAUGUCGGAUUAGCUAGUUGGCGGGGUAAAGGCCCACCAAGGCGACGAUCCGUAGCUGGUCUGAGAGGAUGAUCAGCCACACUGGAACUGAGACACGGUCCAGACUCCUACGGGAGGCAGCAGUGGGGAAUAUUGGACAAUGGGCGCAAGCCUGAUCCAGCCAUACCGCGUGGGUGAAGAAGGCCUUCGGGUUGUAAAGCCCUUUUGUUGGGAAAGAAAAGCAGCAGGUUAAUACCCCGCUGUUCUGACGGUACCCAAAGAAUAAGCACCGGCUAACUUCGUG
This 492-nucleotide ribosomal RNA is filed under the name uncultured bacterium. RNAcentral's name for it is "partial 16S ribosomal RNA". It matches the Rfam family "Bacterial small subunit ribosomal RNA", at positions 29 to 507 of the family's 1533-position model. The record is from RNAcentral.